CAGCCGCCACGGGAACACGGAGGGUGCAAGCGUUAAUCGGAAUUACUGGGCGUAAAGCGCACGCAGGCGGUCUGUCAAGUCAGAUGUGAAAUCCCCGGGCUUAACCUGGGAACUGCAUUUGAAACUGGCAGGCUAGAGUCUUGUAGAGGGGGGUAGAAUUCCAGGUGUAGCGGUGAAAUGCGUAGAGAUCUGGAGGAAUACCGGUGGCGAAGGCGGCCCCCUGGACAAAGACUGACGCUCAGGUGCGAAAGCGUGGGGAGCAAACAGGAUUAGAUACCCCUGUAGUCCCUGUCUCUUAUAC
Molecule: ribosomal RNA, 301 nt
Filed under: uncultured bacterium
Lineage: Bacteria
Description: partial 16S ribosomal RNA
Rfam family: Bacterial small subunit ribosomal RNA
Source: RNAcentral